Molecule: ribosomal RNA, 497 nt
Filed under: uncultured bacterium
Lineage: Bacteria
Description: partial 16S ribosomal RNA
Rfam family: Bacterial small subunit ribosomal RNA
Source: RNAcentral
GAUGAACGCUGGCGGCGUGCCUAAUACAUGCAAGUCGAGCGAAAAGACGAGGAGCUUGCUCCUCUGACGUUAGCGGCGGACGGGUGAGUAACACGUGGAUACCCUACCUAUAAGACUGGGAUAACUUCGGGAAACCGGAGCUAAUACCGGAUAAUAUAUUGAACCGCAUGGUUCAAUAGUGAAAGACGGCUUUGCUGUCACUUAUAGAUGGAUCCGCGCCGCAUUAGCUAGUUGGUAAGGUAACGGCUUACCAAGGCAACGAUGCGUAGCCGACCUGAGAGGGUGAUCGGCCACACUGGAACUGAGACACGGUCCAGACUCCUACGGGAGGCAGCAGUAGGGAAUCUUCCGCAAUGGGCGAAAGCCUGACGGAGCAACGCCGCGUGAGUGAUGAAGGUCUUCGGAUCGUAAAACUCUGUUAUUAGGGAAGAACAAAUGUGUAAGUAACUAUGCACGUCUUGACGGUACCUAAUCAGAAAGCCACGGCUAACUACGUG